This 97-nucleotide ribosomal RNA is filed under the name Virgibacillus pantothenticus. Its description in RNAcentral is "16S rRNA. Bacterial SSU". It matches the Rfam family "Bacterial small subunit ribosomal RNA", at positions 1 to 95 of the family's 1533-position model. The record is from RNAcentral. Lineage: Bacteria; Bacillati; Bacillota; Bacilli; Caryophanales; Bacillaceae.
UUUCUAUGGAGAGUUUGAUCUUGGCUCAGGACGAACGCUGGCGGCGUGCCUAAUACAUGCAAGUCGAGCGCGGGAAGCAAGCAGAUCUCCUUCGGGG